Long non-coding RNA from Oreochromis aureus, 654 nucleotides. The record is from Ensembl. Lineage: Eukaryota; Metazoa; Chordata; Actinopteri; Cichliformes; Cichlidae.
AGACUGUGUGGCCACCCAUGGCUCCAGUACCAUUGUGAAGUUUGCUGACGACACAGUGGUAUUGGGUGCUAUCUCCAACAAUGAUGAGGCAGUCUACAUAGAUGAAGUGAAGAAUCUGGUAUCGUGGUGCCAGGAUAACCACCUCUAGCUGAACGUCAGCAAGACCAAGGAGCUGGUGGUGUCACAACACCAGCCAACACAGAGAAGAGGACUCAAAUGCAGACACCACAUGGAGGCUCGGAGAUUCUGUCAGAGAUCAAGAAAGAAACAAGGGACAAAGCUGAAGAGAACUGACUGCCAUUGGACUGCAAAGUGGGAGAGGAGAACAGAGUGGAGGAAGCAGCGGACCGAAAGUGUUACUGACGGGAAUCUACAGCGUCUUGAGCUGAAUUAAGACUUCAGAAGUCAUUCGUCAUGUCGAAUGACCAGCGGAUAAACUCUCAGGUGAAGAGCCUGAGGCCGGUGACAGUCCAGUUUUACUCUAAGUCGGGGCUCGCAAAAUUUCAAAAUCUCUGGUAGCCCUUCGGGCAGGCACUCUUCAGUUUUUGGUAGCCCAAAAUAAAUGUGAAGAGCCUGAGGCCGGUGACAGUCCAGUUCUACUCCAAGUACAUCCUUACGGUGGCUCACAGGACAAGGCCACAUUCCUGUCCUGCC